This 3564-nucleotide long non-coding RNA is filed under the name Homo sapiens (human). RNAcentral's name for it is "HSALNT0094130". Lineage: Eukaryota; Metazoa; Chordata; Mammalia; Primates; Hominidae. The record is from RNAcentral.
UCUGGCUAAUUUUGGUAUUUUCUGUAGAGAUGGGGUUUCGCCAUGUUGGCCAGGCUGGUCCCGAACUCCUAAACUCAAGUGAUCCUCCCACCUCAGCCUCCCAAAAUGCUGGGAUUACAGAUGUGAGCCACCAUGCUGGGCCCUACAUGGUUUCUACAUAAAAGCCUGAUGUAAUUAUCAUCUUUGCUCCUCUAUAAGUAAGCACAUCCAGCAAGUGAGAAGGGGGUGUACGAAGAAAGAGGAAAGAAGCCAACCACGUCCUGCUUUCUCGUUAAGCGUAGAAUUCUGAACUCCAGCAGACAAUGCACAGAAACCCAAAGAUCAAUGUGUUUCUAAAGGAUUAUAUUGCUGUCAAUGCUUCCCAGCCUGUUUAUUUAUUGUGAGAAACUUAACUCCUUCGAGCUUUUCAGUAAUUCACCCCUUUUGUCCAUGUCAAGAUGAAGUGGUCUCUUGUUUCUAACAAUGGACUAUUUGAUGAUCACAUCAUCAAAGCCACUGGAAGUGCACAAAGCAAGGAGGCAUGUCACACUGUGCAAAUGGCCUUCAGCUUGACUGCCAUGGCACCGCCACCAUUGUGUCACAUACGUGGCAAAGCCAGUGCCACAGAGGACACAGUCAUCAGGACAGACCAUCACCCAGGAUGGGAGAAUUCGCUUAAAAUACAGAGUCCAUGACCAUACUCAUGGGGACAUAUUUUACAUUCAUUAUUGAUAGCAGCAAACCAUGAACAGAAUUUUCAACCCUGCCUGAAAGAUGACUUGAAAUAAAAGGAGAGAAUGGGAGAAUAUAAUCAGAGAAGACUGUAUUAAAGGACGAUUCUUCCCCACAGGGAGAAGGCAUAUUUGAUUUAGUAACAAUUCCUCUUGGAUUUUGCUUGCAUUUGCUUCCUUUGUUCACGAGAAUCUAGCAGUUUUAGGUACCAUUGAGUCCUGUGUUUCAAGUUGGUAAAUGAGGCCUGUUUUCUUAGAAAGUUGUAUGCUAACAGUAAAAAAAAGGGGGAGGGGCAUUGUACAAUACUUUCCCUUGCUUUUAUAAGAAAAUCACUAUCACAAUUAGGCAUUUCCUCUACACUCAAUCUGUACAAAAUCGAUUUUAUUUCUCACAUUGUAUUGUCAUUUUCAUGUAAAUGUUCGUAUCCUCCAUUAUCCUGUAAGUGCCUCAUGGGCACAUACAAUGUCUCUCUCAUUCCUUGUUUACUUAAAAAAAGGUUUGCAAAUCUAAUAUUUGGACAUGGUUAACAAAAAUUAGUACAAAAGUAUAUACAAUAAAAAAACAACUUUCCUUCUCACUACAGAAUGACCGUCCUUUAGCCAGAAGAAAUUACCAUUGGUUUUCGUGUGCAUGUUCUUCAAGAAAUGUUCUGUGCAUAUAAAAUGUUUAUAACAUGGUGGUAUGUUACAUGAUCUUUCCUGAACACUGUUUAUUUCCCUUUAACAGUAUUUUUUUGCCUAACUUUUCACAUGAGCCUAUGAUCUAUGGAUAUGACAUAUUUUAUUAACAAAUUUCUUAUGAAUGAACAUUUGGAUGGUUUCCAGUUGCUUUUGUUACAAACAAGACCUCAAUAAACAUACUAAUUACAUUUUUAUGUACAUAUAUGAGUAUAACUGGAUGCUAAAUUUCUAAAAUAGAAUUUCUAAGUUAAAAAAGGCUAUCACUUAAAUUUUGUAAGAUAUUUCUGAACCUCACUAAAUUUUACUUCCAUCAACAGUGUAUGAUAGUCUCUUUUUCCCAUGACUUUGACAAUGCUGUGUAUCACCAAACAUGAUGACCUUUUCCAAUCAUGUAAGUGAAACAUGACGUCUUAUCUAAAUCUGUGUUUUUUAAAGUAAUGAAUGAAUUUGAGCAUUUAAAAACAUGUGUAUAUACUAGUUAUAUUUUAUAAGGUAUUUUGUAGUGUAAUUGUGGUUAGUUUUAGAAAAUAUUACAAGAGUAGAAUGCAAGGCGUAUUCUUUGUCUUCAGAGUAUAAAGUUCAAUUCAUCUUAUUAAGUUACUUUAAGUCCUUUCUAGUCUCUUUUUUUCUGAUCUGUUUGUCUACUUUUUCAUGAACUGACUUUGGGAGUUAAAGCCUCUUACUAUUAUAAUGUUUAUCAUUUUUCUUGUAUUUCUUUAUUAUUUUGAUUUAUAAAUUCUGAUGUUAUAUUUAUUGUGAUAAAUAGUUUAUUGAACCACUUAUUGAUAUAAGUUGUCUUUCUGGUCUUAUUUAAUGUUACCUACCUGAGUUUAGCAGUCUGAUAUUAACAUUAAAAUUCCUGAUUUUUGUAAUAUUUUCCUGUAAUACUUUCCUGUAAUAUUUUCCUGUAAUAUUUUACUUACACCUUCACUUGUAACAUUUCAAACACUUUAUUGUUUAUAUGUAUUUUGUAUAUCCAACAUAGUUGUUUUAUUUUUAUCUGUAUGUUGUUUAUAUUGCCUGUAUAUCAUUUAUACUGAGAUGUUAAUGUUUAUACUAUUUACAUUUGUAUGUGGCAUAUGUAUUUGAUCUUUUUUUGCCAUUUUGUUUUAUGCCUUCUGUUUUCAAUACUUUUUUAGAUUUUAAUAUUUUGCUCUAUUGAUGUGUUUUGUUUGCUUUUGUGUGUCCAUGCUUUUCCUACCAUUUUAGAAGUUUGUUUUCUUUUUUUUCCUCAGUGGAUUUAUAACUUGAUGUAAUUUACUUAAAUUUUUAUUCCUUUAUCAACUUUAGACAGCAUCUAUAAAAAUGUAAAUUUUUACUGCAAAAAUGAAGAAUUAAUACACUAUCUCACAUUUCCCACUGAGAUGAGGAAUUCACCAAACUGUACCAUUGGAUUUUUGGUGGCUAUAAUGUAUACAUUACAGUAUGUAUGAACUUAGACAACUAAUUUGAAUGUGUAUGACAGCUUCCAUACACAUUCAAAUUAGUUGUACUUUUCCAAACAAGGGUUUAUUAAUAAGACUUCUUAGGAAGUUCAACCUAUCUUUGGAGAACUCUGAGUUUUAGAGAACUCACUGCCUGAGAUGAUUAGAAGAAAACAAUACAUUUUCUUGUGGCUUCCUCCCUUGACCAUGUCCAAUUUGUUCUGCUCUCAGCAAUACUUCUCCACAGAUAGAAGAUCUGGGUUAUGGCUGUUGUCUAAGUUCAUGAAAAGUAAUGAAGCACAAGGGAUCAAAUAUAGCUUACCAAGCCACAUUUAAACUAAAGUCUAUUUAUUUGUCUACUUUUGGUGGCUAACACAAAGUUAAUUCUUGGUUAACAUUUGUUAAAUUAAGAACAAAAGAGUCAUCUCUAGAGAUUCUGGAGUAUAUCCAUACUGUAAUGUAUACUUUGCCAAUAAGUAAUUCCUAUACUUGCUUUUUUAUUUUUACAGUAAAUGUCAGUUACCUUGUACCUAUGAUUCACAAUGUUGUUUCUGAAAUUAUGUAUCAUUCUUGUAUCUUUAAGAUCAGAGUUAAAAUUUGUGACAAAUGAAAUAAUGUGGAUUUGAUAAAGGAGAGAGCUUCUCUUUGGUUAAGAAAGGAAGGAAUAGGCUGGGCGCGGUGGCUCACGCCUGUAAUCCCAGACACUUUGGGAGGCUGAGGUGGGCAGAUCAUGAGGUCAGGAGAUCAAG